GGUUGUAGCUCAAUGAUAGAGCACUUGCCUAGCAUGUGUGAGACACUGGGUUCGAUCCCCGGCACCA
Molecule: transfer RNA, 67 nt
Filed under: Marmota marmota marmota (Alpine marmot)
Lineage: Eukaryota; Metazoa; Chordata; Mammalia; Rodentia; Sciuridae
Also listed under: 4 other names
Rfam family: tRNA
About the family: Transfer RNA (tRNA) molecules are approximately 80 nucleotides in length. Their secondary structure includes four short double-helical elements and three loops (D, anti-codon, and T loops).
Source: Rfam by way of RNAcentral